GCAGCAGCAGCAGUAACAGCUUAAAUCAUAUACCAUCAACAACAGAAUCAUGAGCAGCAGCAAAAGCAACAAACCAGAUACUCAAAUAUACAAGCCGCCAAUGGGAAGCUCAACAGCGCCAAGUACAACCAAACCAAAAUUGCCGUUUUCAUAGACAAAAACAAGAGGAGAAUGCAUCAAAAUGUCAAGAACAACCACAGAGUGUAUCGGCAAAACAACGACAAGAAUAGCCACGCGAACACUAAAACAAUCAGCAGCGUCACCAGUUAAAUGACCCACAACUAAAUUGUAAUUGACCAUGUCCCACCACUGCAGCAAAAACAAGACACUCCUGGAGUAUGUAACUUGUCGUCAACGCCUGUGUUUUCAAGCUAAUGCCCAGAUUGCGGUGGUAUGAUCAGCAUACGUAGAGAGCAUCAUGCGGUUUUCGUUGAACUGACUGUAUUCGUUGAGGUCAACGGCAUGUCAGAUGAGAAGAUUUUGUACAGGAUUGGCCCCAGUCUACUGCUUUAGAAUACUCCAGCUGUAAUUGGACACCGUCGCUGCACUUUACUACAAAGCUACGCUCAUGCAGAGCCACUGUGCCAAACUCGGUCAGUGCUGGCGCUCCUCGAAGGCUCUCAGAGUGAAUUGUGAGAUUCGAGAAAGUUACUGUUGCGUGCCAUGUUUACGCCUGAACCCAAACUGUUAAUUAGGCACGGCUUUGGCAAAUUCCUCAAGUUCAAAGAGCCGGGCCAGCAGAAGUUUUCCGACUGUAGAAAAAAAUCGCCAGGUCCCACCACUGCGGCAAAAACAAGACACUCCUGGAGUAUGCAAGCUGUACUCAACGCCUG
Long non-coding RNA from Drosophila grimshawi, 833 nucleotides. RefSeq lists it as uncharacterized. The record is from RefSeq and is a predicted model, not a curated record. The transcript is spliced from 4 exons. NCBI's taxonomy places the organism in Eukaryota, Metazoa, Arthropoda, Insecta, Diptera, Drosophilidae.